This 17669-nucleotide long non-coding RNA is filed under the name Triticum aestivum (bread wheat). RNAcentral describes it as "long non-coding RNA (TAES_LNC013886)". Lineage: Eukaryota; Viridiplantae; Streptophyta; Magnoliopsida; Poales; Poaceae. The record is from RNAcentral.
GUUGUUGUUGUGUUUGGGCAGAUAAAAAAGAUGAUGGCGGGGAUCAUCAACAGCCCCUAAUCUAAUCCCCUUGAUUGCUGAUGAUGGAUGGAGUGGACGGAUGGAUGGAUGCUAAUUUCUUUGUGCACAGUGAAGGAGGGAUUUAUUGAGAGUAGUAGUGCAACGGUUGGUUGUUGGUUGUUGUUGGGACGGACACAAGAGAAGAGAAGAGAAGAGAAGAGUGGCAUUAUGUUUUUGGUGGUUUGGUCUCUGCAUCUGCAUUUUGUGGUUCAUGAAUGAAUGAAUGAAUGCAGUAAGUAGUGCAGUGCAGUCAGCAGGUGCUGGGUGUUGCAGUUAAUUAGGAGUAUAUUUCUUGAGUGUGUGUGUGUGUAUAAUAAUCUUCAUUCUAGCUAGUUUCCUGUGUUGUUGUGGGAACUGCUUACAUUUCAACUUGAUGGAGCCUUUGCACUCGACUCGAGAUUAGACUGCAUGCAAACACAGAUUCAUCAAUCAAAUGGUAAAGUAGAGGGGAACUUGAAUUGCCUCCCUCCCUCCCUUCACAUGUACUCCCUCCGUCCCAAAAUUCUUGUUUUAGAAUUGUCUAGAUACGGAUGUACCUAAUACUAAAAUGUGACUUGAUACAUCCGUGUUUAGACAAAUCUAGACAAGAAUUUAAUUUUGGGACGGACGUACCAAAAUAUAAGAUGCUUUUGCUGUUAAAAUUGAACUGGUAAAACGUCUUAUAUUUUGCUAGUACGGAGGAUUGUCUCAGCCGUCCUGGGUCUUAGUUCGAUCCACGGACCACUAGCUGAACUUAACUGAAGCUUCCUCAGACUAGUUUUCUUGCCGUCGAGCACUCGAGUCCAUAAACACCCUAUAUAUAUUUUGGCAAAAUUGCAUUCUCACUGUCAGAAUUCUUUGUCGUCUUUCUUUCUUUCUAGGUACAACAAUCUUAACUGAAUAACCUCUGCCUGACCUGAAAAACACACAACAUAUAUAUGUGAUAUGCAAUGUACCCUCCACUAAUACUAGUACUUCACAAAAACAACCAGAUAGUUGCAUCUAUAGUCCCUUAUAUGAGGACAUGCACACCCUAUAUAUGUAGUCCCUUAUAUAAGAAAUCUAUUUAGGUUUUUUCUAGUGAAAAUAAAUAUAAUUAGGUAUUCAGAGUCUUUUUUUGGGCUGUACGGGCCUGUUUCUUUUGUUUUAUAGCUACAGCCCAGCUGUCUUCUGUGUGUUUUGGUUUUUUGUACGUGUUCAUAUUUUUUGGCAGACUCCUAUUUGGCGCACGCAACCUGGUGCGUACACNNNNNNNNNNNNNNNNNNNNNNNNNNNNNNNNNNNNNNNNNNNNNNNNNNNNNNNNNNNNNNNNNNNNNNNNNNNNNNNNNNNNNNNNNNNNNNNNNNNNNNNNNNNNNNNNNNNNNNNNNNNNNNNNNNNNNNNNNNNNNNNNNNNNNNNNNNNNNNNNNNNNNNNNNNNNNNNNNNNNNNNNNNGAGCCCACUGCAUACAGAAAUUUUGAAAUUUCGAAUAUUUUUAAUUCAUGAUUUUUUUCAAAUUGGUCAACAUUUUUUAAAUUUGGGCUGAACAUUUUUCGAAUUUAAAAUUUGUUUAUCGAAUUGGAAAAAGUGUUCACCAUAUUUUUGAAGUUGCGAUUUUUUUCUUAAUUCAUCAACUUUUUACAAAUUGGCAAAUACUUUUUGAAAUGGCGUACAUGGUUUUUGGAACUCAUCAACAAGUUUUUUUGCAUAAGCGAACAAUUUUGUUUAAUUCUUGAAUAAAUUUUGAAAUUUAGAAACAUUUUGUUUGUGAACAAUAUUUGAAUUCAUCAAUAUUUUUUGAAUCAGUGAACAUUUUUUGAAAAUUUACGAAAUAUAGUUUUCUAAAUCCCAAGCAUUUUUUUGAAUAUUUUCAUAAAUUCAAGGACAUUUUUUGUAUACACAAACUUUUACUUUUGAAUCAUGUGCAUUUUUGAAUCGAUGAACAUAAAAAAAAUCAAUUCAUGAAUACCAAGUGUGUGUGUGUGUGCGCGCGCGUGAUAUGUGAGGAGAUGCAUGCCCUAUAUAUUUAGUCUUUUGUACAUGUUGCGAACUUUUUUUUUGGAAUUUGCUAAGUUGCACUCCCUAUAUAUAUGUGAGGAGAUGCACUCCCAAAAUGUUCACCAUAUUUUUGAAGUUGCCAACAUUUUCUAAAUUCAUGAACUUUUUACAAGUUAGUGAAUAUCUUUUGAAACUGCGUACAUGUUUUUUGGAACUCGUCAACAAGUUUAUUUAUUUUUGCAUAGGCAAAUAUUUCUUGAAAUUUGUGAAGAACUUUUGAAAUUCAUAAACAUUUUUUAUUGACGAACAUUUUUGAAUUCAUCAAUACUUUUGUUGUAGACACAACGUUUUACUUUUUAAUCAUGAACAUUUUGUGAAUCGGUGAACACUUUUUUAAAAUAAAAAUUCAUGAAUAUUUUAAAAUUGACGUAUAUUUUUAAAGAGGCGGUGAUAUCAAACCCAUUAAGGGGCGCUUGCUGGGAGAGCAAAGGGAGUGUCCACGUGGAUCCAGGAGGUUGGGCAGGAAGCUGCAUGUUGGUUGGGCCACAUGGUGCGUGCUGAUUGGGGAGAAAAAGGAGCAGUAGGUUGCAUGUUGAUUGGAGCACUUGUUGCAUGUUGAUUGGAGAGAAAAAAGGAGCACUAAUUGGGACCUUUGAUGCAUGCACAUACUUUGUACACACAACCUUUGUCAUGCACAUUCAUGCUAUUAGUGAUCUUCAUGCUCUUAUAUUUGUUUACGGAGGGAGUAGAAUAUAAUGUGUGCAUACAAACAUAUAUUAAAAAUCUUAUCUCAAAAUUGCUGGUUGGCCACAGUGAGAAAUCUUUUCUUAGAUUAUUUUUGCAAGAUGGAGGCGAGACUUUUUCCCUUUUUAUUUUUGAGAAAUUUUUUCUAGCCUUUUUCUUUCCCUUUUUGAGAUGAGUGUGAUGCUGACAUGAUGCGAGAAAGUUUUUUAAAAUUUUGAGAAAGGUGAGGUUUUUCUUUUCUUUUUUUCUUUAAGAUAGAGAAACGUGCACACAGCUUCUUCUCAAGCGGCCCGCAAUGGCGGGCCCCAAUCACUAUGCUUAUAGUAUAUGUAGUGCAUCCCCAUGUUAAACAAGAUCAUGCACUUGGCCUGGUUGCCCGCUCUGGCUGUGGUUGGGCAGAGCUUGUGGGUUCGAAUCCCCCAUGCGUGUCUUUUUUUCAUUUUAUUUCUCGGCCCACUGACAUAUGGGCCGCAUACGGACGUGUCCUCCACUAUAGAAAUGCGAGAUACGUAUGUGACGUGUAGAGCCAGGACUUGCAUUUCAACCUCAGGGAUCGUAUUGACCAUGUAUUUUCAUGUACCGGGACCGUAUUGAAGCAAUACGUAAGUUUCAGGAUUGAGUUGGACGUCGCCAAUGAGUAUGAGGACUAUAGAUGCAAUUAUCUCCAACAACAAUUGUUGUAUAUACAUACAUGGGUGAAUGAGACAACAACCUGCAGACUGCUCCAAGCGAUCUUAUCUUUUCAUGUCUAGUCACAGAAACCAACAUCACACUUGGUUUCAGUACGCACUCUCGAAAACUACACUUGUUGAUCUGGGCUGCGCUAACUCAACUUAACUCAGCCGUGCUGUGCUUCACUUCUUCAAAGUAGCACAUACCUUUCUUCACGUUGCACAUAGCCCAUGGGCCUCAGAAGCAGGGACACUAAACACUGGUACGAUCGAUUAGUACGCAGCCUCAAGGGCCUAGCAGCUGGAUGGAGCGAAUCCACGAUGAUGGCGAGAAGUUUGCCGUAAUUUGCCAGUUUUACGAGGCUAAGGCCCUGUUUGGAUACUCUAACCCAAAUAAGCACCUCUCCAUCGGGAUAGUUGGGUUAGAUGGAAUUAACCCAGGGUUAUUUGAGCCCCCAACUAACCCAAACUAGCUCUAACCCCAUGAUCCAAACAGGGCCUAAGCCGCAACGAUCCUGAUCCCGACCCCAGGCUCUACAGGUCGCGAGACGAGUUGCUGGCGCUGGACGAACCGCCGCUAGGGUUCAGUACUCCGACGAACUCCGCUCCGCUAUCUAGUUUUUUAGGCGCUGGACGCGCACGCCCGUUGCCGAGCGCUUCCGGACAGAGCGAGAUGCAAAUUCACAUCGUGUUAUCAUUGAGAUGAGAACUGACCGAUCCAAGGUACUGCUGAAAUUUGAGAUGAGCUCUAGACCCAUAUAGCAAUUUCUGAAAAAUCUCUAAGGACCCAUGUGGGUUAUAUGGCAUUAGGUGUAGUGAGAAGUUUAGUCUCACCCUGAAAGUAGAAGAGGAGUUGGACCUCCUUAUAAGGGUUUCUUUUCUACAUGCUAUUGGAGCUUGAGAAGAGAAGAGGCCCUCGCGCACUCCUCCUCCGCCGCCCGCCUCGCCACGCCUCGACGCGGGAUGGAGCCGAGCCGAGCUCACACCUACGCGCUUAUUUUUGCCAGUCACUAACGGAGAGUUCUCUGACAGCUGGGCCACGAUCUGAGACGUCGGAUCAUGGGCUGUCACGUACUCGGACGUGGGUCGAGCCCACGUCUCUCCACGCGGCUGCGCUUAUAUGCGGUGUAUCCUAACCCUAGCCGCCACGAACAGAUCACAUCUGCUCCACGCGCAUGCCCACCGUUGUUCCCUUGCUGCUGCUGCCACCGGUGACUCCAUCCCUUCCGCCGCGUACACGGUCGACGGGAGAGCAGGUCUCCGAAACCACGCCCUUCUGGUUCCUGUACGGGGUGAGGGGCGAAUAGGUUUUUGGGCAGCGAUUACGCGACUGCUCACUUCUGAUCGUCUACUUCCUCUACGUCCGCGUCACCUUCAUCAUCAUCAUGUCCGCCGACGCCGAACGUGCCGCCGCCGAGAAAGCUGAAGCUGACAAGAAGGCCGCCGAGGACACCGCUGCUGCCACCAAAGCCGCGGCCUCUGCAUGGCCUACUGGAGGGUAUAACUCGUUUUUCCCGCUCCUACUAUUUUCUGUUUUAGCCAUGCUAGCGUUAUACGUAGAUCUUUCUGCAAUUAGCGUAGUAUGUACUAGUUUGACUGAAUAUCAGUAUGCGUUUAUUUGUGUCAAUGCCAUGCUAGUGAUUUACUCGUGGACUAAUUUAAUCGAGAAAUUGCCUAUUUACUCAACAGGUACUCCUAUAUCAUAUCUUUAAUUUAUCACUUCCUAUGCUAGCUCUAUCAGCAUAUCUAUCUAUCUAUCUAUCUAUCUAUCUAUCUAUCUAUCUAUCUAUCUAUCUAUCUAUAGAUUCACGUUCGCUCGUCUGCUGCAUUGUGUUGUGUGACGUGAUUAGCUCCAUCAGUUAAUCGUGACGCAUCUCGUAAGAUUCACAAACAUAGGUCUACAAGAGCCCCAUAGUUCCUGCACUGGCCCUUACCCUGGCGCGCAUAGCAUGGAAGGCAGGCUGUCAUACUAUAUUAGCGUUCUAUGUGCAUUGAGUAAGUAAUUUAUCUUCAUAUACAUCAUGCAUUGUGCAAGUUUUGAGGCAAAUUUUUAGCGCUUUGAGUUAUGAUGACGAUUAAAAAGUAUGUGUAGAGAUUCCGGCAGUGACACACUAUUUGUAUUUAUUUUUCUCCCUCUUAAUAUAUAGGCAACUCAGUUGCCAUUCCCUAAAAAAGUGUAUUGAAAAAUGUGGGUUCUAUGUAAUAAAAAGCAAACCUUUGAAUUCUUAUUGAGAAGAAGUUUUUGAUGAUAAAUAUUUUCAGUGAUAAAAAUUCAUUGCGAAGGAGAGAGUAUAGGAAGGGCCCUGAGAUUAAAAAACUCAGUGCUAAAAAUUCAUUGCAAUGGAGGGAUAUAUGAAAGGGCCCUGAGUUUUAGGUUCGCCUCGGGCCCCCAAAAUCUCAGGACCGGCCCUGCUUUCUUCAUUGAAUGUUAACUAGAUGACUUGUUGCACCAAUGGCGCAAAGCCUGAGAGGGAGCCAAGUAUGGUGAGAAUAUUUAGACACCCAAGUCGAAAACCAAAUGUGGCCAACACUCCCGCAUCCUCUGCUUGGAAGCCGCCUUUUCUCACCGCAGCUAACAUAGAUACAUGAUUCUUCAAGAGCAAAUUUCAGAGAAAAUAUAAAGCAUGAAAGCUUUAAGUUGUACUAUUGAGACCAUACCACGAUAUCUUCAUUUAGUUUCUUUGGAAAUCUAAAGGUCUAAGAGGAUGGUACAUGUGAGAAGCUGUGAAUCCAUAACAAAAAACUAAACUAACUUCCAAACAAACAUUUCAAGUUUGGAAGCCACAAAGAUGCGGCCCAGAUCUCUCAUUGUAGGGCAGGUACAUGUCCUUAAUCCUGCAUCCACAACCCAUAAUUUUUCAACACCUAAAUCCAUGAAAUCCAAACAAAGGAAAUCAUGGCAGAAACAUGCGUCGUGGCUUACGUCUCGGAGAAGGACUUCUUGGCAUUCUUGUACAGGUUGGACACAGCAAUCCUCGCUGCGAGCCCAUCAUUUCAGUCUUCUUUAAUCUCUAGCUGAACCAAAUAACAAAAGCUUAAGCUUAAGCAUCCACACACAGAGAAAAUGCAAAACAAAUCUCACAUAAAACUGUCCCAAGUCAGAUACAGGGGAAACCAAGGUGAGAUGAUCAUGUUUCUUAUAGGAAACAAUAACCAUAGGUAAAUACAUACAUUAUUGUCCUGUCAGAAGGUACUUAGUUGUACUUCAAGUGGUACUGGGACAUGAAACUAAGCCAUUGAAAUUUUUGUAACAGAAUAGAUGAUAACACCAGUGUAGGCCAUGAACAAAAAUACAAAGAAGAACAUAAUCAAGCAUAACCCACCUCGACCGAAGCAACGGCUGAUCAACAGCAGGAACCUGAACCUCGUGAUGCUAGACCAGAUAUCUAUGGUUACCCAUUUUAUUUCUCCCGCCUAACCUGAAGUAGUUAUCUGGACAAAUUAGGGAGGCACACUUAAACAAAUCAGUUCUUAGUAAUUAUAGAAUGCCCUGUAUUAAAGGAAGUAAAAUAAAGCAUGUAUGUGCUCUAACUUUCAUAACUGCAUGUGAACUCAGCAACUAACUUUAUAUACCAUAGUGUACAAUUCUCAAGUUUAGCUACAGAGACAAAAACAGGGACAGAGGGCGUGCAUUCCAGUAGGCUCUGAUAAACUCAUUCCUAGCAAUCCAUUCCUUAUAUGUGUAAACAGGAACGCUACCCAAUUGCUUAUAUCAAGAAUGACCAAAAGAAGCAAACCGAGCACAACUCUAUAACCACAUCAUUUUAAAAAAUUCUCUUAUCUAAGCUAAUGAAGCCUGCUCGUUUUCUUUUUGGAUAAAGCCAGUUCGGUCAGUUAGGAGAAAAAAAGCAAUUAAUAAAAUUACCCAAACUAAACAAUCUUCUAAUCUGCUUUAAUGGAACAUAAUAAGCAUUUGCUGCUGCUCUUUAUAUGAUAUACUGGACCCCUUUACAGGCGGUUAUGCAUGCACAUUUUACACAGUAGCCUGCAUAACCCACUCAGCUUGCUUACAUAAUUUAACAGGCUAAUAAGGAGACAAAGGCUGACAGCAUUAAAAAAGACAAGGCGCAUCAUAAUCUCACCAGACAAGAACAAGUGGUAGGCCAUUAAACAAAGCAAACAAAGCAUGUAGCAAGAAGCAAUGAAGUGCAUCAAUAAGAACACAUCUAACCUUGCAAAAGUAUGACCGGUCCGGACGUCAGGAAACCUGGACAGGAAGAGAAAGAAGCAACGAACAAACAUUUCAGCUCAAACACAUUUUAUCAAACAGCAGACGAGCAAGAAAUAUCUUACCUUUCCAAACAGAAAUAUCUUACAUUUUAUCAAACAGUAGCCUGAUAAACAAGAAGUUGGAUGACCCUGCAGCAACAAGAUAAAGAGAAGUGAGAACAAGAAAACCGAAGAGCACGAGGACAUGGAAAGCAAAGCCGGCCGAAGCGACGCAUGCAAAAGAAAAAAACGACGGUGACACUAAUACGGAGAAGAAGAGCUGCAACCUCAACCGGUUUGACAACCAGGAGAAGUCCGUGUGGACGAGGCCGAGGCCGCCCGCCAGGACCAGCUCCAGCGCGAGUUCCACGUCUGCCUCAUCGCGCUGCGCCACAAUCGGGGCCUCNNNNNNNNNNUAGAAUUUUUUUUUGUAUUAUGUUUUAGAUUGGAAAAAAAUAGAGCUUUGGUUUGGACUUCCUACGCAAGGAAAGAUUUUGAUUCACGUCCAAAACCCUAGUUUGGGUCUAACUCGGAACCCGAACUUUCCAAAACUAUCUGGUUUAAAAGCUAGCUGCAUGUUGCGGGUCACUUUUGAGGUAGUAAACAACCUCGGUUGGAAAUGACGCCAAAAUCAUAUUUAUUCGUUUUGACGAGACAAACAGUUUUUAUGUUGAACGUUUUUUGAUUCGAAGCCAUCUUGAGAGCCAAAUCGCUCUCGCAAAAUAGGCAAUCAAUGGCGCUACCCAUCAAACAUCAGCUAUAUGGGUAUCUGAUGGGGUGCGCCACAAUUUGCUUGUGGUAGGGCUGCACUUUAAUGGCUCUAACUUGUGCAUACAACCUCGGAUUAUGACAUGUAGCAUAUUUUUUGUUGUUGUGUAGCAUCAUGAGCAAAUCUAUGACUAGAUGCAUGUAUGAUUAGGGCAUAUGGUGAUAUGCGGCAUUGGCCGUAUGUGCGGGGUGAUUACUGGAUGUAUAUGCGGCAUUGGACAUAUGUGUGGGGUGACUAGAUGCACGUAUGAUUAGGUCGAUGUACACCUAGCAAUUCAUUAAUAAAGUUAGCUCCUUCACAAAGCAAGGAUUGAUGUACCUACUCACAUUGAGAGAGAGAGUUUUUAAGUUAAAUCAGUUUUUCACUUACCCUUUUGUUCUUUUACUUUCGAAUAAUUUUUUAUUGCAGACGAGAAUCCAUCUGCAUACGGGUUCCCUUGGCCAUCAUCCGACGAUCAAACCAUCGAUGACCUAGAAGUAAUGAGCAUGGGGCGGCGUCCGGUGGCGGUGACCUCUGCGCCAUGUGGCCCUGCCUCCUCAAACACCCCUAAACCCAUCCGGAGCCUCAAACCCCCCUAAAACCACCGGGCGGAUGUCAUGGUAAAAAUAUAGCGACCCAGGCGAGUAGUAUGGGACGAUGGAGCUUGAUGAAAUGAUUCAAAAAAAGAAAGAAAAGAAAGCUGAGCAACCAUCAAAGGGAUAUGGUGUGAGUCUUCUCUGGUUGGUUAUAUGCAGAGAAGAUAGAAUAUUUUUCUUUGGGUAUAAGCCGAGAAGAUACACAUAAUAAUAGUUCAUAUCCAUCACAGUGUGCAAUGAUGAUUGAAGCUUACCACUUUUAGACGAUACGGCUAUUUAAGGCGCUCCUCGCGUGGUGAGGCGGGACUAAACCAUUGCCGAGUUUGUUCUAUCAAAAACUUGGCAAAUCCUGAACCUGACAUUCCAAUUUUUCAAAAAAAUGAAAAAAGGAAAAUGUUUACCAAGUGUCGAAAGUCUGCAAAGAUGUGACCCCUGGAAUUUCUAUUAAAAAAAAUAAAAAAUGGAACAUGCCUGUCGAGUCUUUGUUAGACGAAACUCGGCAAACAAAGGCCGCGUCACGGUUCCGUCGCCUGCUGUACAGUAGGGCCCACUGGUCAGGCUUUUGCAAGUUUUUUCCUCACCGAAAAUCGGUUUUAUUUGAGAUUCUGCCGAGUUUAUUUAGUUCGCCGAGUCGUUUUUCGUUGGAACCAGGCAAAGCCAGAGUUUUGCCAAGUAGUUUAUCACUGCCAAGUUUAAUUUUGAAUCAAACUCUAGUUUGCUGAGUUUUCGAUAAAGUGGACUCGGCGAAGUUCUGGAAGUCGGGAUAAAACCAGAUUCUAAGGGGGUGUUUGUUUCCAGGGACUUUUUUGUGUAAGGACUAGAAAAAGUCCCUCUUAGAGACUUUUUUAUCAAACGGGAGGGACUUUUCAGGGACUAAACUAGGCAUUUGGGACUAAAUGAAGAAGACUCUCAAGGAGAGUCUUUUUUGGGACUUUUCGAACAACGCUCCUCCAUGCAUUCAAUGGCCGCCACCCCAUGAUGUUGUUUGAUUGUUAUUGUUUUAUAUACUAGGGACAACAUGGUCAUUUAAUAACCUCUAGGAAGGGACUAGGGACUUUUUAGUCUCUGGAAACAAAUAAGGAGAGACUUUUUAAGAACUAGAGACUUUUUAGUUGGGACUAGAAAAAGUUUUAGGACUUAUGAACCAAACAGGGCCUAAUAGUGACGAGCUGCCGACAUGCAUGAAAAUUUUGGCCCACCGAAAUGCAUGCGAGAGUCAUAUAUUUUGGGAGCACCAACAUCAACAUAUAUAUAUGGCCCACAAAGAAGAGUCCGCUCCGCACCCUCCCUCUCGUCUUCCAAGAAAACAUCGCGAACGUGUGGCUGCGGACGGCGACAGCGACAGCGACGGCGAGCUGAGCAGCGCGCCGCCUCCCAUUCCCCUGGUCACUGUCGUCGCCCUCCCACUUCCGGCAUCGCAACGCAACGCAAGCAACGAGAUCGAUCGACAAUGAGCGAUCAAAAUUAAACCCAUGCAUCAGGUAAUUAUUACUCUAGUAUUAAUUAAGCUUCUCAUGUCGAUCGACGACGUACUCUUUAAUUUAAUUUGGUUGGUGCAUCAGAUUCAGAUCCAAUACCCUGAUGUAAAUAUCAUCAGAUCCAAUACACUGCUAGCUAGUACUAGUACUUUCGUCCUGGUUUAUUGGCCCUUCAUAUUUAGUGUCAAAUUUUGAUAAUAGAUUUAACUAACAAAACGUCAAUGCAGGUCAUAAAAAACUGUAUUCUCAUGGUAUAAUUUUUUAUGACAUGCAUUGACAUUUUGUUAGUUAAAUCUAUGAUCAAAAUUUAACACAAAAUACGAGAGGGACUAAUAAAUCAGGACAUAUGUAGUAGCUAGCUAGAUGCCAGAUUAUGUCUUUCUUCUUCCUUCCCCCUGAUUUAAAGUGUCAUAUGCAUAUAUAGCACGCUAUUCACCCAAGACUAGAAGAGAAUGGCUGCAUCUGACAAGACAUAUAUGUCGCUGGUGCGCACAACGGUGCAAGAGCUGGCGUGGUUGAUAAGGUGUUGGCCGCUGAUGAGAUGCCAGAGCCCAUCCCUCUCAUCGAUCUUAACCGGCGAGCUAUUUUACGGUACCCUGGUACUCCCAAAACAUGUGCUGGAGUACCGAACAAAUCUAGCCGUCCGUUGUAAAAGGUAACUUAGUCUUUUUUCCAUGGGUACUUUCAAUUUUCUCCCCGUGAUCUCGCAUAGAUGCCAAAUUAGCUCCCAAAAGAAAAAAGGAACUCCAGAUCAAGUGCCAGAAAAAACUCCCGUUCGUUCGGCCAGAAAUCCCGAUCGCUCGCUGCAUCGCAAUAGAGUGGCGGCGCCACCUCAAGCCUGAUCCUUCUCUACCGCAGGCCACCGUGCCUUCUCCACACCGAUCGUCGGCUCCGCCGCGUCGCUCGUAUGGCACAUACGGAUGAGCCACCAUUGGCCAAACCUUGUACUGCGCCACGGUCGAGGAAAUGGGUCUGGCGGCUGCGCGGCAUAGGUCUUGUUCCGGCUCAUCCCCGACGCGGAUGCUUCCCCGCUACUCACCCACGAAGGACGUUCAUAACCCGCUGGCAUGGGCUCAUCCCGGCAUCUUCGGACGCUACAUGCAGAUCAAUAUAUUAGGUUUUGCUUGCAAUUGCAAAAAAAAAGGCCGCCAGAAUACAUGAGAGGUUACGAAAAUGAAUUAAUAUUAGAUUGUUAUAUUAUUAUAGUUUUGCCCCUUAUAUCAAGGUACUCCUGUACUUUUUAACUUAGUACUCUGUUGGAUGAGUGAUGGAGUACCAAGUAAUAAUGUCCGCUGGAUCAAGAGGAAUGUACGGUCUAUACUUAUUUCGGGGUACCGUAAAAGAUCUCUAACCGGCUGACGGCCGUUGACAAAGCCGACAAGCUCCGGGCGGCUCUACAGACCUGGGGCCUCUUCUUGUUGAGUGUGUGCACCCUUAAUUAGUUUCUUCUACUCCCUUCGUUCAAUUUUAUAAGUCAAAAUGUUUUCAAGGCCUUAUAAAAGUGAACAGAGGGAGUAGCUAAAAUUGUUCAACUUCUGCUGAGGUUUUUGCCCAGGCGACCAACCAUGGAAUCAAGGAGUCCCUUAUGGAUUCCAUGAUGAGUGCAUCGAAAGACUUCUUCAUGCAACCGUCUGAAGAAAAGCAGAGAUACAGCAACUUGAUAGACGGCAAGCAUUUCCAGAUGGAAGGCUAUGGAAAUGACAAAGUCGUGACCACCCAGGAGCAGGGCCUGAGCUGGAACGACCGCUUGCAUUUGAGAGUGGAGCCUGAAGACGAGAGGAAUUUCGCCAAGUGGUCCACUCACCCGGAAUCUUUCAGGGUAAUCACCUACUCCCUCUGUAAACUAAUAUAAGAGCGUUUAGAUGGCCAUCCAUUAGUUGGUCCAUGCAAAAGAUUCAGACCUACUGCUUCAACGAAGACGAAGUAGCAACCAUAUUAUACUAAUAUGCACGUCUAUUUACUACAUGAGUACGCACAUCUAUUUGAACUAAUAAGUGUGCAUACCCAAUACGCAUCUAUUUGGAUUAACAUAUUAUACUAAACUUAAUACAAGACAAUUUAUUCAUAAAUUUGAAAUUUUCUAUAAAAUACACGAUCUCUUAUUUCCAACUCGUACAAAUAAUUUGAAAUAUCAUUUCUCCUUAAUCAAUAUGUCUCCUGUAUUAAAAGAUCACCCACUUUUCUCAAUGUAUAAAAUUCAAAAUUAUUUACAAGAUUCAUCAUGAUUCUUUAUAUGCACACAUUUAUGCAAGUAUAGUCACACAUGAAAAUGUCACUUAGGACAAGCUAAGGAACUGUUUCAGUGCCAACAAAUUCCAGUCAAGAACUACACAAGAUUGUCAUGAACAUAUACAGAGAUAAGUGACCUCUCUUUCUCCGAGAUUGAUCGAACAACAGGUUUUUGUAUAUAUCUAUCCGACACUACUACAUAUAUACCAGGUCCUGAUAAUUGCUGCAUGGCCUCCACCGAACCAAUCGUUUCCGCAGAUCAUUUCUUAUAGGUAACCUCCACCCGCCGAUGAUCCCAUAGCCCGUCGUCAGGCUGGGAGUAGUGAACGUCCACUAGCAAAUAUAAAUAGGAACAAGACAGGCCUGCCUAAAUGAGUAAUCUAUAGGCGAUUUCGGGCAUCCCGACCGCAAGCGAGAUGGUAGCUUUCAUGAGCGGCUUUAGGAAGCAUCUAUGGACCUGUUUAAAUCGAUUUUAGAAGCUUCCGUGUAGUUUUCUUUUUUUUUCGACAUGUUUUCAUGGUCUUCUUUGGUUUUUUCGGGUUUUAUAUUUUCCUUUGCCUUUUUUCUUUUUACCAAAUACAUGUCGACUUUUUUUAGCACAUGUUCUACAGUUUUUGUAUACACGUUGAACAAAUUUUUAAGACACAGAAAUAUUUUUUUCAUAUGAUAAACAAUUGUCACAUACAUGUUUGAACAUUUUUAGAAUACAUGUUAUACAUUUUCUAAAUACACCUUGAUUUUUUUAAUGGUAGGAAUUUUUUUAAAGCGAAACGAAUAUUUUUUAUAUUUUUUAAAAAAAACUUUCAAACAUAUUUUUGAAGUGCGUGAACAUUUUUCAAUUUUCAUGAACAUGUUUCUGAAUGAUACAAAACAUUUUUUCUAAAAUGACGUGAACAAAAUUUUUUACUUUGUCUAAACAUUUUUUUAAAUGGCAUGAAUAAAUUUUUGAAACGCAUGAACAUUUAUAGAAUUUAGGAAUAAUACGUUUUUCCAUUUCAAAAACUAAUUAAAACCAGCAGAACAGGACGUGGCUGUUUGGUCUCAUUGUGGGCCAGACAUAGCUCUGUCCGAUUUUAUUAGGCGGGCUUGGCGAUAGGCCGUCAUUUUCGUUUUUGCGUGGCCUCCAGCACUCCAGUAGGUGGAUCCUAUUUGGCGCUUCAGCGCUCGUUUGCAAACGGGCGCCGGCAAGGAUCAAACCGGGGACCUCUUCCUUCCGAGUGAAGCACACUGACCACUACACCCACGCGCCGUGUUAAUGCCUACUUCAUGUUAUAUAGUCCUAUGUAUAGGAAAUGCCCCCCCCCCCCUUUAUGUUUUCCAUGUUUAUUUUCUUUUUCUUUUUUGUCUCCUGUUUCUUUUUUCUUCUCUAAAAUUCAUGAUUUCUUCCAAUCAAAGAUUUGUUUUCGAAAUGGAUGAACUUUUUUCCAAAUUGUUUAACUUUUUUCAAAAUCAACAAACUUUUUAAAUAUUUUUGUGAUUUUUCUAAAAAAUUGAUGAGUUUUUCCAAAUAUGAUGAACUAUUUUUUAAAAUUGAUAAAAAAUUUCCAAUAUGAUGAACCUUUUUCAAAAUUCAUGAACAUUUUCUAGAUUUGAUAACUUAUUUUAAAAACCGAUGAACGUUUUUCAAAUCCGAUGAACUUUUUUGCAAAAUGGAUGUUUUUUUAGAAUCGAUGAACACUUUUAAAUUCGAAGAAGUUUUUUCUAAUUCGAGGAGUUUCUUUCCAAAUUCAAUGAACCUUUUCUAAAUCAUACACAUUUUUUAUUUCUCAAAAUUUUCAGUUUUGUACUUUUUUUUCAUUUUUUAAAGUUCAACGGAGGUGAAACAAUGCUCUUUUUUUGGAACCGGUGAAACAACGCUCGAGCGAGCGACCAGACGUGGCGAUCGAUGAAGUGAUCGAGCGCUCACCACAUGGGCCGGCACACGAGCAGGCGGCUGUGGGCGAGCGCUGCGUAGGAGCUCCCAGUCCACCACACAUUCAUUCUUUCCAUGCACAACCGUCUGGCAAACGCGCCAACCCCACACGCGAACAAGAGGAGCAUUGCUUCAAAAAAAAGAGGGGCAUGCAAUCAUGCAGUCUACUCGUAAUAAAAUAUAACCACGGCAGCCAUACAAACGCAGUUGAUGGCCUGUGCGAUGGCCACGCAUUUUUUUUCUUCAAAAUGGAGGCAAAAAAUUUGACUCAUCUAUUAAUUAAGCAGAAGAAAGUUGCCUAGUUAACUAACGGGAAACCGGGCUAAAACCGUCACAACCGCCGAGCGACAUACAUAAGAUACCCCACACACGCCCCUCUAAAGAGGGCCUCGUCGAUACAGCUCAUUGCCAUCCCUCCUCCCCUAGAAGGCGUCUUCGCCAUCCCUACACUCUGAGCAAACAACUCCGACUUCGCCGUAGGCGAUCGCCGACUCAACCCACUAUGAAUAGGCCUUGUGGAGUUGCAUGAAGAUCCAUGCCAGAACUCAGCCACCUGACAACGCAGCUCCGACUCUGAUGGAGAACUACGAAAGACAAAACCAGGCACGGCUGGCGCCACAAAAGAUCACCGAAUGGCCCAUAUGGAGCCAUUCAUCGUACGUCGCAGUGCCCCGCCACCGCAACUUCGACUCCACAGCAACAACCAAACCGAGGCAAUCCCGUGGACACGCCCUAGAAGAGCCUACUACCGCAACCAUUGCCGCGUCGCCGACAUCGCUCCCACCAUCACCGUUGCCACAGAAGCCUGGACGCCCCAACCGCCGCCAUCCACUGGUCAUGCUCGCCAAUGCUGGGCUAGAAAGACGAAGCCCCCAAGAGGGAAAACGACACUUGUAAAUUGGGAAGCAUUUUUACCUGCCGUAGCAGGCCGCGGUUUACGUGUUAAUAUAGGGAUGGAAUAGCCCCAUCCGUGGCGUACAAGAAAGAGAUCGUUCCAUACUUGAACCGUAUGAAAUAACCUCAACAAGAUCUUAUCUCUACCAACCGUACAUCAUCUAGAAGACCCUAAAAUACUUUAACAGCCCACCUCAAUCACACCUUGGUUAAGGUGAGAUUGCGUCUGAAGUCUUCUAGUUGUCGAAUUGGUAGAGAUUUAGUGAACCCGUCCGCCACCUGGUCCUUUGAAGACACAAAACGAACAUCAAGUAGUUUUCUUGCCACCCUCUCUCUGACAAAAUGAUAGUCAAUUUCGAUGUGCUUGGUGCGUGCAUGAAAGACAGGAUUAGCUGACAAAUAGGUUGCCCCAAGAUUAUCACACCAUAAACAUGGAGUAUGUUCCGUGGGCAUACCCAAUUCUCUCAAUAGUGACUGCACCCAAAUAACUUCUGCUAUUGCAUUUGCCAAGGACUUAUACUCAGCCUCAGUGCUUGAACGAGAUACUGUAGCUUGUUUCCUGGCACUCCAUGAAAUUAGAUUUGCACCAUAAAAUACUGCAAAGCCACCGGUUGAUCUUCUAUCAUCAAUACAUCCUGCCCAGUCUGCAUCUGAUAAAGCACUUAACAAAGUAGAUGAAGACUUUCUAAAUGCAAGCCCUAUGUUGAUGGUGUGUUUGACAUAUCUAAGAAUCCUCUUUACUGCUGACCAAUGAACUGUAGUUGGAGCAUGUAAAUACUGACAUACUUUAUUGACUGAGAAAGAAAUAUCUGGUCUUGUGAGAGUCAAAUAUUGUAAUGCCCCAACAAUGCUUCUAUACCUUGUACUAUCUUCUGGUUCUAGAAGCUCACCAUCAAAGGCUGAAAGUUUCUCAGUGCUUGACAAAGGUGUGGGUGCAGAUUUGCAGUCUUUCAUGCCAACUCUGGUCAAGAUUUCUGAGGCAUACUUCUCCUGUGUUAACACAAUGCCAUCUCCGGUUUUCUUGACCUCUAUCCCAAGGAAGAAAUGUAAAUCCCCCAAGUCCUUGAGUGCAAAGCUAGAGCCUAAAUCCUGUAGUAGCGCUGACACUGCUUCUUGAGAGGAGCUAGUAACAAUAAUGUCAUCAACAUAUGUGAGCAGAAAUAUUGUUACUCUAGAUUUAUUAAAAAUAAAUAGAGAGGUGUCAGCCUUUGAAGUGGUAAAGCCCAAUUCUUGUAAUCUUGAGCUUACCCGAGAGUACCAUGCUCUUGGUGCUUGCUUGAGCUCAUAUAGAGCCUUGUCCAGUUUGCACACAUGAAAGGGUGAAUCUUUGUGCUCAUAGCCUGGUGGUUGCCUCAUGUAGACCUCUUCUUCCAGAACACCAUGAAGAAACGCGUUCUGCACAUCUAGCUGUCUUAGGCUCCAUCUCCUGGACACAACAAUAGACAAAACAAGUCUGGUAGUAGCUGCUUUAACGACUGGACUAAAGGUAUCCUCAUAAUAUAAUCCGUACCUUUGUUUAAAACCUUUUGCAACUAAUCUAGCCUUGUAUCUAUCUAUGCUACCAUCUGCUUUCUUCUUAAUUCGAUACGUCCACUUACAAUCAAUUACAUUUUUACCAUGACUAGCUGGAACUAGAUGCCAUGUUUUGUUAUUCAUUAAUGCCGAGUAUUCAGUGUCCAUUGCCUUUCUCCAGUUCGUACUCUCUAAUGCUUCUUGUACACUUUGUGGCUCACUUGUGGGCUCACCUGUUGAACAAAAUGAUCCAAAUUUAACUCUGAAUUUUUUUCAUACCGUACUAUACCAUCUUUAGGUUGUAGAGAUUUGUGUAUCCCAGAUUGAGAUCGUGUACGGCCGCGUACAAGGGGUCCAGCCGGUGCCGCAAAAGAUCCGGGCGCUGCUCCAGCCGGUCCACAACAACGCCAUUGAUCUCUUGCCCACCUGCCGCAGAAGAUCCCGCGGGCUCAGCAGGCGAGGCCGACCCGCCAGAUCCUCCUGAUCUUACCCUCAAAAGAAAAAAGAUCCUCCUGAUCUGUCGGGCACGGGCGAGCGAGGACUCACGCGCUUUUUUUUUGGUGGGUGUCCGCGGGCCCACGCGCUGAACUGCAUGCAGGAGACCGAUUUGCAUGCGGGAGGCAGGCGAACACGCGGCUUACCCUCAAAAAAAAAAAAAAC